RNAcentral lists this ribosomal RNA (497 nucleotides) under uncultured bacterium. RNAcentral describes it as "partial 16S ribosomal RNA". It matches the Rfam family "Bacterial small subunit ribosomal RNA", at positions 28 to 507 of the family's 1533-position model. The record is from RNAcentral.
GAUGAACGCUGGCGGCGUGCCUAAUACAUGCAAGUCGAGCGAACAGACGAGGAGCUUGCUCCUCUGACGUUAGCGGCGGACGGGUGAGUAACACGUGGAUAACCUACCUAUAAGACUGGGAUAACUUCGGGAAACCGGAGCUAAUACCGGAUAAUAUAUUGAACCGCAUGGUUCAAUAGUGAAAGACGGUUUUGCUGUCACUUAUAGAUGGAUCCGCGCCGCAUUAGCUAGUUGGUAAGGUAACGGCUUACCAAGGCAACGAUGCGUAGCCGACCUGAGAGGGUGAUCGGCCACACUGGAACUGAGACACGGUCCAGACUCCUACGGGAGGCAGCAGUAGGGAAUCUUCCGCAAUGGGCGAAAGCCUGACGCAGCCACGCCGCGUGAGUGAUGAAGGUCUUCGGAUCGUAAAACUCUGUUAUUAGGAAAGAACAACUGUGUAAGUAACUCUGCCCGUCUUGACGGUACCUAAUCAGAAAGCCACGGCUAACUACGUG